This 29-nucleotide non-coding RNA is filed under the name Homo sapiens (human). Lineage: Eukaryota; Metazoa; Chordata; Mammalia; Primates; Hominidae. The record is from RNAcentral.
UUCCAUCACAGUAGCGGUCCCAGCAGAGC